This 253-nucleotide ribosomal RNA is filed under the name uncultured bacterium. RNAcentral describes it as "partial 16S ribosomal RNA". It matches the Rfam family "Bacterial small subunit ribosomal RNA", at positions 524 to 776 of the family's 1533-position model. The record is from RNAcentral.
GACGAAGGAUGCAAGCGUUAUCCGGAUUCAUUGGGUUUAAAGGGAGCGUAGGUGGCCUUAUAAGUCAGUGGUGAAAUCUUCGAGCUUAACUCGGAAAUUGCCAUUGAUACUGUAGGGCUUGAGUAUAGUUGCCGUUGGCGGAAUAUGACAUGUAGUGGUGAAAUACAUAGAGAUGUCAUAGAACACCGAUUGCGAAGGCAGCUGACGAAACUAUAACUGACGCUGAGGCUCGAAAGUGCGGGGAUCAAACAGG